GCCACGGAGCUGGACUACGCCAUUUACCUGGCCAAGAAGAACAUCCGCAAGCAGGGCGACCUGAUCGAGCACGAGAAGGACAACUACAACCUCCUGCACAAGCGGA
This is a long non-coding RNA of Neopelma chrysocephalum (saffron-crested tyrant-manakin), 106 nucleotides long. RefSeq lists it as uncharacterized. Lineage: Eukaryota; Metazoa; Chordata; Aves; Passeriformes; Pipridae. The transcript is spliced from 3 exons. The record is from RefSeq and is a predicted model, not a curated record.